Non-coding RNA from Triticum aestivum (bread wheat), 67 nucleotides. The record is from Rfam. Lineage: Eukaryota; Viridiplantae; Streptophyta; Magnoliopsida; Poales; Poaceae.
CCACUACUCAGUUGGUAGAGCACAAGGCUUUUAACCUUAUGGACGUGGAUUCGAGCCCCAUGGUGGG